RNAcentral lists this ribosomal RNA (1107 nucleotides) under uncultured bacterium. RNAcentral describes it as "bacterial SSU rRNA". It matches the Rfam family "Bacterial small subunit ribosomal RNA", at positions 1 to 1104 of the family's 1533-position model. The record is from RNAcentral.
CGCAUCUAGAUUAGACUUUGAUCCUGGCUCAGGACGAACGCUGGCGGCGUGCCUAAUACAUGCAAGUCGAGCGAAUCAUUAGGAGCUUGCUCCUGAUGGUUAGCGGCGGACGGGUGAGUAACACGUGGGCAACCUGCCUGUAAGACUGGGAUAACUUCGGGAAACCGGAGCUAAUACCGGAUAAUCCUUUUUCUCUCAUGAGGAAAAGCUGAAAGACGGUGCAAGCUGUCACUUAUAGAUGGGCCCGCGGCGCAUUAGCUAGUUGGUGAGGUAACGGCUCACCAAGGCGACGAUGCGUAGCCGACCUGAGAGGGUGAUCGGCCACACUGGGACUGAGACACGGCCCAGACUCCUACGGGAGGCAGCAGUAGGGAAUCUUCCGCAAUGGACGAAAGUCUGACGGAGCAACGCCGCGUGAACGAUGAAGGCCUUCGGGUCGUAAAGUUCUGUUGUUAGGGAAGAACAAGUACCGGAGUAACUGCCGGUACCUUGACGGUACCUAACCAGAAAGCCACGGCUAACUACGUGCCAGCAGCCGCGGUAAUACGUAGGUGGCAAGCGUUGUCCGGAAUUAUUGGGCGUAAAGCGCGCGCAGGCAGUUCCUUAAGUCUGAUGUGAAAGCCCCCGGCUCAACCGGGGAGGGUCAUUGGAAACUGGGGAACUUGAGUACUGAAGAGGAAAGCGGAAUUCCACGUGUAGCGGUGAAAUGCGUAGAGAUGUGGAGGAACACCAGUGGCGAAGCGGCUUUCUGGUCAGUAACUGACGCUGAGGCGCGAAAGCGUGGGGAGCAAACAGGAUUAGAUACCCUGGUAGUCCACGCCGUAAACGAUGAGUGCUAAGUGUUAGAGGGUUUCCGCCCUUUAGUGCUGCAGCAAACGCAUUAAGCACUCCGCCUGGGGAGUACGGUCGCAAGACUGAAACUCAAAGGAAUUGAGGGGGCCCGCACAAGCGGUGGAGCAUGUGGUUCAAUUCGAAGCAACGCGCAAACUUACCAGCCCUUGACAUGGCAGGAGGUUUCCAAAUGGAUUCUUCCCUUGGGCUGCACACCUGCAUGGCUCACUCGUCGAUUGGGAUCCCACACCCUUCACUCGCCAGAAGGGGUGACCC